Molecule: long non-coding RNA, 3004 nt
Organism: Onychostoma macrolepis
Lineage: Eukaryota; Metazoa; Chordata; Actinopteri; Cypriniformes; Cyprinidae
Exons: 3
Source: RefSeq, a predicted model, not a curated record
CAGAGUUGAAUUAAUGUGUUACUAUUUUUGGAACGCCUGUGUUUCCAGGGGAAACCUAAUGACGCAAUGACGUCAAUGCAGGUCAACAGCAGACUGGAGGAAUUGAGCGCUUCCAUUAGAUUUUGCAGUAUUUUCCAGAAACGCGGAAAGGACAAAAUGGAUUAGUUUAAAAUGUACUAAAAACACCAGAGUGUCAUUUAAAAACAGUAAAGAUCAAUACGAGAGCAGCACAUUCGAAUUUAUUGGAAUUAUUAUUAUAAGAAGCAAAUGGAGAAAGAAAAAAAAAAAAAGAAAAAAAAAAGAUCUCGCCUUCCUUGAAGCGUCGCUUGCACGAUUGCAGGCACCAUCAUCGGUGUGACGAAAACCCCUUCUUUCUCCAUCUCUUCCACAAACUGUGGGUGUGUGCAGCACAGGGCGUUCACCGCGGUGGGUGGGUUUCAGCACCGUGGACAGCAGCCCGUUCAGCACCACGGACAGCACCCGUUUAAUUAACACGCCUCCUUCAAUCAACCCGAAUACACCACAUCAGCGCUUCCAAUACAUGAAGCUGAUUUCCAGGUCCCUGUCUUGUCCUUUUCAGGUCUUUUUGCGGUCUGGGCUUGCUGUUCCUUGAACCAGUAGCCAGGAAGCCCUUACCCCAAAAAGUAUCUGCAGAGGACCAAAACAUCUUAACAGACAUACCAAGCUCUAUCUCCAUCAAAACCCAGACUGCCAAAAAGAAAAGUGUUCUUUUGCAUAGCACACUCAUAAAUGUUAUGUUUUUGUUUUUUGUUUGGUUAAACAAACAUUUUGGUGAUCUAAGUAUUUACGUUUAAUAGCAAAUUAACCUGAAGGGUUCCUAAAACAGCCAUAAACCUCACAGUACCGCAUUUUGCAUAGAUCUAGCAAUACACAUUGUGUGGAAAAUUUACAAACCUUUUACAUUUGAAUAGAAUUUGACCUCCGUCUAAAAAUAAACUAAAAUCCUGUCUCAAAUCAACUAAAAACACAGUGGGUGAAGGAGAACAGAAACAAAACCUACAUUUACAUCAGUGCAGAAAUUAAGGCACGGCCCUCACCACAUGUGUGACGCACAAGAUGAACCGUGACAAUGCACUUAGCAACCUCAAUCUGAAAGCAACCAGAUCAUAACUUUUACUUGUUGGCCUGGAUAACUGAUACUGCUUAAUUAGAUGAUAUUAUAUUAAUAUAUAAAAAUUGUAAUCUGAAUCUGUAGGAUAUGGAGAUAUUUUGCAUAAAGGAAUCAUAGGGAUGCCAAGAAUUGUUUGUGAAAAAUGUUUUAUGAUCCAAUUUUUAGGUUACGCUUUAUUUUACGGUGUCUUUGUUGCAGUAAUUAUACAUUUAAGUACUGAGUAAUAUUAAUUAACUACAUGUACUUACUACAUGGUUAGGGUUAGUAUUAGGGUUUGUCUUAGCAUUACUUGCAUGUAAUUAUGCAUGAUUUAUUGUUAUUAUAAUAGUAAGUACAUGUAACGUGUAACAAGGACACCUUAAAAAAAAGUGUUCCCAAUUUUUAUUCUUUACAUAAUUUCUUUACAAAAAGCAGUUCAUUUUUAAUAUUUUGAAUGAAAUAAUAAUAAUUUUCUAGAGCCUUUCUCAUAUUUACAAAUGGUGACAAUAACAUUAAACUUUAAAAAUCUAGAUUGAAUAAAAUGUCAAUUUUGAAUUUCAUACCUGUGGUAAAUGAAGUGUAAAAUAAAUAAAUAGGGGGGGGGGGGUCCAUCUCAAAAAAAAUUUAAAUAAAAAGUGUAAUAAAAUUAAUGUACCAUUCCAUCAAUAUUGAUUUAUAUUAUAAUACUGCAGUAGUUACUUAAACAUGCAACAGUCUAUUCAUUAAUAUAUGCGGUUGCAUUUAUGAGUUUGUUGGUCUACGCAAAAAAAAGAAGAAGUCAUUUAUUAGCCCAUAAAACCUUUGAGAAUAUCAAUAAGUGUUUAAUGCUUUUUAAAUAAAUUUAGUCAGUUCUCAAGGAUAAAGAAAUAUAGAAGUAGAACUUAUCGCAUUGUUCAUUAUCUUUCUCCUUCCCACUAAACGUUUUAUUCUAUUAAACUUUAUAAAAAAAACAUUAAAAGUCAGUUUCAGUCAGCCCGACAGACUGUCAUACUUUUAAUGCAUUAUAUAAUACAAUACAGAAAAGUACUGAAGAGAAACACAGAAGAAGCUUAAAUGGGUCAUAAAGACUGUAUAUGAAUGGCAACUGCUCUCCCUUUUGGUGCCUAUGACAGCCAUAAGAUAUGAGAGUUGGGUAUUCAGCCAGGUCCAUGGGCAUCUUGCUAUUGUGCUUUCUCGCCCAGAGCAUUUAUCCCCAUAACUUCCUGCCCAUUCACCAGGACACCAGCUGAGUGCUUUGGUCAUGUGACUCUACUGUCCGCAGGCCUUUCCGUUGUCUCCGCUCUUCUCUGGGAGAUCAUGCACUUUAAAAAAAGAGAUACCAUAUGCUUGACAGAUAAAUAUAAAUAAGGUAUAAAUGAUGUAUUAAGUAUAAAUAAGGUUCACCCAAAUUAAUAUUCAAUAAAUAUCAAUGUAUCAGGUGUUUAGCAGUAGAGCGGAAUCAGAGAAGCCUAACUCACAAAGACCAGGUUUAUAACAUUACAUCAAAUUGAUAGUUUAGAGAAUGUAUUCAAAGUAUUUCCUGUCCCUCUCUCUUUUUUAAUAAAUGCAUAAUCCCUCCUGUACUAAUGACAAUGUGACCCUCAUAUUGGAGACAGGGUUAGUCCCUUUGAAUUAUGAUCCAAAAACAUGGCACAUAAUUUGUGUCACCAUUUAGCCUUGGGAAAUGGAGCAGUGCUCUGCCGAUGUCAUCAGCAUAGGACGUACUGUUGUGGAACCACUUUUUGGAUCUCCAUGUUGUAACAAACCUAAUGAAGUCACUACUGUAGAUGUUAGUUCUCAUUUUGAAAAUAAAGGUUUCAAUUCAAUGUACUUAUUAUUUUAUUAUUUAAUUACUUCUUAUUGACAAUAUUUUGUUAAACAAUGUAAACAACUUUAAUUAAAACAUUGAUGUUU